CACUAAGAAGCUAAUAAGGGAAUAGCGCUAGCCUUUUAAGCUAGAGAAUGGUGCCUCCCAACCACCCUUGGUGG
RNAcentral lists this transfer RNA (74 nucleotides) under Cryptopsaras couesii (triplewart seadevil). Its description in RNAcentral is "tRNA-Lys". It matches the Rfam family "tRNA". Rfam says of the family: Transfer RNA (tRNA) molecules are approximately 80 nucleotides in length. Their secondary structure includes four short double-helical elements and three loops (D, anti-codon, and T loops). Further hydrogen bonds mediate the characteristic L-shaped molecular structure. tRNAs have two regions of fundamental functional importance: the anti-codon, which is responsible for specific mRNA codon recognition, and the 3' end, to which the tRNAs corresponding amino acid is attached (by aminoacyl-tRNA synthetases). tRNAs cope with the degeneracy of the genetic code in two manners: having more than one tRNA (with a specific anti-codon) for a particular amino acid; and 'wobble' base-pairing, i.e. permitting non-standard base-pairing at the 3rd anti-codon position. Lineage: Eukaryota; Metazoa; Chordata; Actinopteri; Lophiiformes; Ceratiidae. The record is from RNAcentral.